This is a long non-coding RNA of Ictalurus punctatus (channel catfish), 3110 nucleotides long. RefSeq lists it as uncharacterized. Lineage: Eukaryota; Metazoa; Chordata; Actinopteri; Siluriformes; Ictaluridae. The transcript has 4 exons. The record is from RefSeq and is a predicted model, not a curated record.
UGUAGCAUCUGGAAACGUGAUAAAUCAUCACAUUUGGGAAGAAGCGAAAAGCCCCUGCACAUUUGUCUUUAAAAGAGCCCAGGUCUAUCCAUCAGCCACAGAGAAAUUCAUAGAAAUCAGAGGCAACUGUGAGGAAUGUCAUGGCCACAUUCACAUAAAAUGUGACGGAGAGCCUGAAAUGAACAGCCCAAUGGUGCUCAAGUGCUUAAUUAAAAACUCUGACUCCCUGCACACUGGCUGUUCGAAGCCUGCGAUGUCUGGUAACUUGCCUGUGCAGAUAGUCAAAGAACUGUGUGAGGAAAGAAUGGAACCCUGUUUAUGACAACGUGGCAAUUUUUCAGAGCACACUUGGUAGUGUGCGGAAGCAUCGGCACGUCCCUAAUAGCAAGUGCAUAUAGCUGAAACAUUCUGUACUAUUUUAACAUGUUAUUUAUUCCACCGUGGCAGUUGUUCAGUGCACAUUUGUAAGCAUGCGAAAGUAUCAGAACGUCCUUAAAUAGCAAGAGAACACAGCUGAAACAUUGUAAUUUUUAAGUAUGUAAUUUAUUCCACCAUAGUAGCUAUUAAGGGCACAUUUUUAAGCGUUUAAAUGUCCCUAAUAGGCAGAGCAUGCCGUUUUUUUGCUGCAGGGUGGUUCCUACUAGGUCUGCUAAUGGGACCGCCCUCCUGACUGGCUGCCUAUAAAGUCACCCGCUCCAGCGGUGCUGAGCAGCGAGAUGUCACGGAGAAGAGUGUGUCCAGUUUGUCGGCGUUUCUACACCAACGUGCAGGCUCAUCUCACCCAGAUUCAUCAGCAGGGUCCAGAGGAACGCUGGCUUCACCUGGCGGCAGCGAGCGAGCGGGUGAUAUGCGGGUGCUCUGGACUGCCCGGUGUCUGCAUGUGGCAAGAAAGGUUUCCGCCGGCUAGACUGCCACCUGUUCCACCUUCACCAGCUCGCCGGGGACACGGUCAGGAAGCUACUGCUCAGCGCCAAAAUAAAGCUGCUCGACAACAACUACAAGCUUUCGGUGAGGCGAAGAAAUCUAAAAGUUGCAAAUGUUCUGAACUGAUCGAAAAGUAGCAAAACUCUCCGCAGAAUUUGAGCGGCUGCAAGCGAUAGUAGCCCGGAAAGAGUAGUGGCUCUGUGGGUGAGUACCUAAACUAUCUCUAGGCCUAUUUUUAUUGUGUGUGGGCGGCGGACUCCAGGUGGUCGCCCGGGGUGGACGUCCCAGGAUGAAAUUUGUUUUUCUUUCACUGAUCCCCCCCCCUUUUUUUUUCUCUUUUCCAGAGCCAAUGUUAAGUGUACACGGCUUGGCUGACAAGCCUCAGAUAUGUCCCCAAAGCCGCGGCCAACGGCAAGCAGGAGAGGAGACACGUCGAGGGCUUCCUUCACUUUAUGUGGGCCAACGCAGACAGUCCCCUGGCAGCUGCUGGCUCAUUACCCAAAAACACUUAAAAUUUAACAUAGAAGCCAAUACUCACAUCAACCUCUGAACCCAGUUGGAGAUAGAAAAAAAGACACCAGCCGUGAGUGAGAAGAAGCAAGGGUCCAGAUUUAUUGUUCCGUUCCACCACACGAGAUCCACACCGAUGAGAAUUCUCAGAAGUGAUCUGAUACCCUGAGCUUAAGCUCCAGUAUUUAUACUGUAAUUACACAGUAAAUAACCCAUAUGUUUCAAGAAGACUAUGAUCUCAAUACCAAUAGGGUUAAAAAAGAGCUAUUCAACUUACCAUUAGCUCAAAAAACAGGGCUUUUCAACUUACAAAUAUAAUCAAAACCAGUAGCUUGACUCAGCUACCCUUAUAAAUGGCUCCUCAUGGUUUUCUCUUAAAAUUAAGGCCUUCCUUGCGAGACAAGAAUCUUCACCAUCUGAAUUAUGAGUGCCCAUCGUCAUUCCUUCUUCUCCCCUUUUCUGGAUCUGGACACUCAUUAUCAGCUUGCGCAUCUAACUGCUGUUAUCAUGGUGCUACUUAACUAUCUUCGCAGCACCCCCUCUGGAAAUGGAAAUGCGCAGCCAAAACCCCCCUCCAGCUUUCAGUCUGAGGAAGAUGUCACCUUCUCUGACCUGGUCCCCGACCAUUCUUCCCACUUCUCACCUGCAAGUCCGCCCCACUCUCAGUGGUCCUCUCACUUCACCUUUGCUGACUUUCCCAUGUCCCCAGGAUGCACACCAUUUUCUUCCCCCCACCACUCUCCUCAAGAUUACGCACCCACCAGUCCUGUGAAUUAUCAAUAAAACUACAUAUUACUCAUACUAAGUGUCCCUCAUGUUUAUUUCAUGUCAUUUUUAUCCACAACAUAGCCCACUUGAAGUACAUCGACAAUGUCUUGAGAGUCCUUGAAUGGAUGAAAUCACUGUGCCAGCGGUACAAGGUCACUCCGGUCAAGUUAUUUCUGACGCGUGUUUCCAAGUUCCUCCAUUAACUCGAUGAGUAACUGUCCAAGGGCCGAGUUGGCUCCACGAGGCUGUGGAGUCUCCAGAGACUGCUGCAGUGGGAGUGCAGACAUCUGUCCGGUCGAGUCGUGCUCCACAGGCAAGGCGUGCGAGCGGAGAAGAGUGAGGGAGUACUUACAGCUCCUGCACGGCAAACUGUUGGACGCUGUCCCUGUUUCACUGGCUGAUCUGAACUCGUCCAGCAGACCCGGACAUGCUCAACCGUUGCAUCGGGCUGCUGUGUGCUCACUUCUUUUCGGUCAGCGGACACAGGACCGGAGUCCUGCAGAACCUCACGACUGAGGAGUUUGAGAACCUCGAGAAGGCUGACUCUUUCUGAUCAAUGUGAAGCAGCACAAACCUGCCUCUGCUUUUGGACUCGCUAAGCUAGCCAUCACCAAGCUGGAGCUGAAGUGGCUGAAAGCUUUCUGCCGCCUGAGGAAGCAUAUGCCGGGAUAUGAGACUUCUGUGGGGUGGCUUUUCUUUUCUGGCACACAGGCCAGGAUUUCUGCGCAUGUCAAGCUUGCCCUGCGGGCACUCGUGGGAAGGGACAUCACUGUGUCGGACAUCCGCACAGCUCUAGCAACCUACUGCGAACGCAAAAGACGAACAACGCAUGCUCGUGACCAAGACGAUGUGCUACAGCAAUUAGCUGAGUCGUGGAGCUGUCGGUCAGCGAGGCGCACUCUGCCCAG